AGACGCGCGGUUAGCAACGAGCUAAACUGUACAGCAGUGCCUGUUUGAAAGAUGGCGCCACGUUCUCCGAGGACAAUCGAACAAGAGGCUGCUGCGGACACUAGGUGGCGCCACUCACCGGCUCGACCUCGGCGGUGCCUCCGGCAGAACGCGCGAAGAGGAAACCAAACGAGAAACGGGAGACGAGAGUCUUAUGUCAGUAGAUGAUGGAGAGGCUGUGCGGAUGAGGAGGCUGUGCAGAUGAGGAUGCAGAGGAAGGCUUCAGAUUUCCUCAGCUUUCUUUCUUCUUCGUGUGACUUGUACCACGUAGCCAGCUGCAAGUAGUGGUGAAACCUACUGGGUUGAGUUAAAACUAUAGUUGGCUAAGGCUCAGGUGGCCUUACUACAUGU
Molecule: long non-coding RNA, 390 nt
Organism: Priapulus caudatus
Lineage: Eukaryota; Metazoa; Priapulida; Priapulimorpha; Priapulimorphida; Priapulidae
Exons: 3
Source: RefSeq, a predicted model, not a curated record